UGCAUAGUGGUAUAGUGGUUAGCACUCUUGCCUUACAGCAAGAAGGCCCUGGUUUGAAUCCUGGCUGGGUUC
RNAcentral lists this transfer RNA (72 nucleotides) under Oryzias latipes (Japanese medaka). It matches the Rfam family "tRNA". From Rfam's summary of the family: Transfer RNA (tRNA) molecules are approximately 80 nucleotides in length. Their secondary structure includes four short double-helical elements and three loops (D, anti-codon, and T loops). The record is from Rfam by way of RNAcentral. Lineage: Eukaryota; Metazoa; Chordata; Actinopteri; Beloniformes; Adrianichthyidae.